Molecule: non-coding RNA, 443 nt
Organism: Drosophila suzukii
Lineage: Eukaryota; Metazoa; Arthropoda; Insecta; Diptera; Drosophilidae
Source: RefSeq, a predicted model, not a curated record
UUGAAACUAUGAGAAACGCACCCUUGUUUGUUAUAGCAAAGCCGGGAACUUUCAAAUUCACUUACAAGAGAACCAGUUUUGAUCUCCCUUCGGAUAUGGUUUGCUUAUGACGAUCAGCUGUUCGCUUCAGCGAUUCUCUAUGUGAACAAGAAUCCGUUUAAAAAAAACUACUAAAACAUAAACAAAGCAAUGCCGGUCAUUAUGGACAUCCGUUGGACGGAUUGAGGAUUGUGCAUGGAUCUCUGUGGGUAGAGGCUAUCCUUACGGAUCUUCCGUUAAACUUUGUCGAAACUAUAAGUUAUUAAGUCAUUGUAAAUUUUGAUCCUUUUUAUUCCAAAAAUGAAACACGCUAUUUGUCGCUUGAGUAUUAAGCCUAGUAUUCAGAUCGUACUCAGAUUAGUGUGACCGAAGUUUUCAAAGUUCACCCGCAAAACAUGUGGCAU